This 73-nucleotide transfer RNA is filed under the name Candidatus Shapirobacteria bacterium CG_4_10_14_0_8_um_filter_39_15. RNAcentral describes it as "tRNA-Arg". It matches the Rfam family "tRNA". From Rfam's summary of the family: Transfer RNA (tRNA) molecules are approximately 80 nucleotides in length. Their secondary structure includes four short double-helical elements and three loops (D, anti-codon, and T loops). Further hydrogen bonds mediate the characteristic L-shaped molecular structure. tRNAs have two regions of fundamental functional importance: the anti-codon, which is responsible for specific mRNA codon recognition, and the 3' end, to which the tRNAs corresponding amino acid is attached (by aminoacyl-tRNA synthetases). tRNAs cope with the degeneracy of the genetic code in two manners: having more than one tRNA (with a specific anti-codon) for a particular amino acid; and 'wobble' base-pairing, i.e. permitting non-standard base-pairing at the 3rd anti-codon position. RNAcentral also lists the same sequence under 2 other names. The record is from RNAcentral. Lineage: Bacteria; Candidatus Shapironibacteriota.
GCGCCUGUAGCUUAAUGGAUAGAGCAUCACGCUUCGAACGUGCAGGUUGGGUGUUCGACUCACCCCAGGCGCG